UGGCACACAGUGAACAUGAACUUGGUGUCCGGUCAUUGCUCUUGACGUCCGGUUGGGAGCUCGUCAUUGAACAUACACGCCGGCGGAACAGCCAUGCAAGCGGGCACCUUGAAUUUCGUGCGCUUCCUUCAAGAAAACUGUCUAUCGUGAAGCCCAGGCUCUGCGGAGGACUGACUCUCCACAGGAUGGCAAUGCCAGGCUCGUAGGGAUGGAAAGGAGGGGGCUGAAGAUGGAUAUGUGCUGCCUUGUUGGCAAGUGGUGAGGACAGGUGAGGCAAUGGAUCCGUGAGAUUUUCCAUUAAAUCAAGAAAAACACAACUUGCCCCUAACAUCACCUCUGAAGGCUUCUUAGACCAGCUGCUUCCCUGACGCCCUACCGAGGAACAAAUUGCUUUCCUAGCAGGACAUUUGGACACUCCUGCAUUAACAGAUAUGGAUCCCAGCAUGCCGAGCCAAGCGAGAAGGCAAUUUAAUAUGAGCAACACUGUCAUCCCAAUUUAGGACAACAGCUAGGAUGCCCUCCAGGGCAUCGCAACAGU
Molecule: long non-coding RNA, 538 nt
Organism: Callorhinus ursinus (northern fur seal)
Lineage: Eukaryota; Metazoa; Chordata; Mammalia; Carnivora; Otariidae
Source: RefSeq, a predicted model, not a curated record